CCAACAGGGAUUGCCCUAGUAACGGCGAGUGAAGCGGCAAUAGCUCAAAUUUGAAAGCUGGCCUUCUGGUCCGCAUUGUAAUUUGUAGAGGAUGCUUUUAGGCAGCCGCCGGUCUAAGUUCCUUGGAACAGGACGUCAUAGAGGGUGAGAAUCCCGUAUGUGACCGGCUCUGGCACCUUAUGUAAAGCUCCUUCGACGAGUCGAGUUGUUUGGGAAUGCAGCUCUAAAUGGGAGGUAAAUUUCUUCUAAAGCUAAAUACCGGCGAGAGACCGAUAGCGCACAAGUAGAGUGAUCGAAAGAUGAAAAGCACUUUGGAAAGAGAGUUAAAAAGCACGUGAAAUUGUUGAAAGGGAAGCGCUUGCAAUCAGACUUGGACUUGGCUGUUCAACCGGUCUUCUGACCGGCCCACUCAGUCUUGUCCAGGCCAGCAUCAGUUUCGGCGGCCGGAUAAAGGCCUUGGGAAUGUAGCUGUCCCUUCGGGGACAGUGUUAUAGCCCAGGGUGUAAUACGGCCAGCCGGGACUGAGGUCCGCGCUUCGGCUAGGAUGCUGGCGUAAUGGUUGUAAGCGGCCCGUCUUGAAACACGGACCAAGGAGUCUAACAUCUAUGCGAGUGUUAGGGUGUCAAACCCUUACGCGUAAUGAAAGUGAACGGAGGUGGGAACCCGCAAGGGUGCACCAUCGACCGAUCCUGAUGUCUUCGGAUGGAUUUGAGUAAGAGCAUAGCUGUUGGGACCCGAAAGAUGGUGAACUAUGCCUGAAUAGGGUGAAGCCAGAGGAAACUCUGGUGGAGGCUCGCAGCGGUUCUGACGUGCAAAUCGAUCGUCAAAUUUGGGUAUAGGGGCGAAAGACUAAUCGAACCAU
RNAcentral lists this ribosomal RNA (862 nucleotides) under Dothiora buxi. RNAcentral describes it as "eukaryotic LSU rRNA". It matches the Rfam family "Eukaryotic large subunit ribosomal RNA", at positions 65 to 943 of the family's 3401-position model. Lineage: Eukaryota; Fungi; Ascomycota; Dothideomycetes; Dothideales; Dothioraceae. The record is from RNAcentral.